Molecule: long non-coding RNA, 757 nt
Filed under: Malus domestica (apple)
Lineage: Eukaryota; Viridiplantae; Streptophyta; Magnoliopsida; Rosales; Rosaceae
Description: long non-coding RNA (MDOM_LNC009061)
Source: RNAcentral
UUCGAUGCGGAAGAGCAAAGCCUGAGGGCGGGUGGAACGGCAUGAUGUUGUUGGCCACUCAUGACUGCGCCGCGAAGAGCUUGGCAAGGGCCAGAACGUCGCCGUUUUCGACAGUGAUGGUUGCAGCGAUGUUGGUACCUGCGAAGGCGUGGAUGAUGUUGGGCCUGGCGUCAGAGAUCUUGACGCGGUCGAUGGCGUCAGAGAUCAGAGCAGAGAUCUUGAUGCACGUGAUUAGUGAUUUGGGGUUUUGAGAUUGACUUGGUUGGGCCCAUUUCGGUUGGUAACUCCGGAAAACUGAUCCACGACAGCAACAUGGAGCCGAGAAAUGCACUGCAGCGGCUCCAACUCCAGAAAAUCUGAGAGGGAGAGAUCGAGACCCUGUGAAGUGAUUACUGGGAAAACCAAGAACCUGCAACGUGAUGUUCUGAUGAAGAGUUUUUUUAUUUUUAUUUUUUUGGCAGUUAAGAUUGGGCUUAUGGGCCUGGGCAUGAUGACGAGCUCGUGUGUUGAUUCAUUGUUUUGCAGAUUGUGGGCUUGUGUUUUUGGCAGUUAGGAUUUAGCACUGUGAAUUCUUCUGCUGCUGGACCAUGUACACGGAGUAGUUGACAGGAGGUUCUGGUUCUUGCAAAUUCACAGUGGAUGUGAAAAAAUGAAAGAGAACCAACACAACUUUUCGUAUCGAUUCCCACAGACGGCGCCAAAUGUUGAUGCACAAAACCGGAUGGUCUUGGAACAACGUAAAUCCGACCGUGAAUCU